RNAcentral lists this transfer RNA (64 nucleotides) under Dipodomys ordii (Ord's kangaroo rat). It matches the Rfam family "tRNA". From Rfam's summary of the family: Transfer RNA (tRNA) molecules are approximately 80 nucleotides in length. Their secondary structure includes four short double-helical elements and three loops (D, anti-codon, and T loops). Further hydrogen bonds mediate the characteristic L-shaped molecular structure. tRNAs have two regions of fundamental functional importance: the anti-codon, which is responsible for specific mRNA codon recognition, and the 3' end, to which the tRNAs corresponding amino acid is attached (by aminoacyl-tRNA synthetases). tRNAs cope with the degeneracy of the genetic code in two manners: having more than one tRNA (with a specific anti-codon) for a particular amino acid; and 'wobble' base-pairing, i.e. permitting non-standard base-pairing at the 3rd anti-codon position. Lineage: Eukaryota; Metazoa; Chordata; Mammalia; Rodentia; Heteromyidae. The record is from Rfam by way of RNAcentral.
GGUGGCUCAGUGGUAGAAUGCUUGCUUCGCAUGCAUGAGGCCCUGGGUUCGAUUCUCAGCACCA